GAUGAACGCUAGCGAUAGGCCUAACACAUGCAAGUCGAGGGGCAUCACAUGAAGUAGCAAUACGGAUGGUGGCGACCGGCGCACGGGUGAGUAACACGUAUGCAACCUGCCUUCAACAAGGGGAUAACCCGUUGAAAGACGGACUAAUACCCUAUAACACAGGGGUCCCGCAUGGGGAUAUUUGUUAAAGGACAACCGGUUGAAGAUGGGCAUGCGUUCCAUUAGCUAGUUGGCGGGGUAAGGGCCCACCAAGGCAACGAUGGAUAGGGGAACUGAGAGGUUUAUCCCCCACACUGGUACUGAGACACGGACCAGACUCCUACGGGAGGCAGCAGUGAGGAAUAUUGGUCAAUGGACGCAAGUCUGAACCAGCCACGUCGCGUGAAGGAAGACGGCCCUACGGGUUGUAAACUUCUUUUAUACGGGAAUAAAGUGCCCCACGCGUGGGGUUUUGCAUGUACCGUAUGAAUAAGGAUCGGCUAACUCCGUG
RNAcentral lists this ribosomal RNA (490 nucleotides) under uncultured bacterium. RNAcentral describes it as "bacterial SSU rRNA". It matches the Rfam family "Bacterial small subunit ribosomal RNA", at positions 28 to 507 of the family's 1533-position model. The record is from RNAcentral.